CUGGACUAGAAUGUGAGGGAAGAGAGGGUAAUUCCGAUCGUCUGGGAAACCAGACCCAAAACAAGGUGCUGCAUGGCUGUCGUCAGCUCGUGUCGUGAGAUGUUGGGUUAAGUCCCGCAACGAGCGCAACCCUUAUCAACAGUUGCCAUCAUUAAGUUGGGAACUCUGUUGAGACUGCCGUUGAUAAAACGGAGGAAGGUGGGGAUGAUGUCAAGUCAUCAUGGCCUUUAUGUUCAGGGCUACACACGUGCUACAAUGGAUGGUACAAAACGUCGCAAUCUCGUAAGAGGGAGCUAAUCGCAAAAACCAUUCUCAGUUCGGAUUGGAGUCUGCAACUCGACUCCAUGAAGUUGGAAUCGCUAGUAAUCGCAAAUCAGCAUGUUGCGGUGAAUACGUUCCC
This 400-nucleotide ribosomal RNA is filed under the name uncultured Acidobacteriota bacterium. Its description in RNAcentral is "bacterial SSU rRNA". It matches the Rfam family "Bacterial small subunit ribosomal RNA", at positions 975 to 1375 of the family's 1533-position model. The record is from RNAcentral. Lineage: Bacteria; Pseudomonadati; Acidobacteriota.